UUGCUAGUCACCCUAAUCAUAAUUUAGUUGUAAUUGAACAGGAGUAAUUGAAGAUGUAAUUGUACUUGGUGUUACACCCAAUGUUUAAAGGGACCCAGAGGAAAACCUGGAGAGCCUGGUCCUGCAGGCCCAGUUGGUCCUCAGGGACCCAGAGGAGAGAGUGGCAUCAUUGGUUUCCAAGGACCAAAGGGCGACAAGGGAGAUGUUGGACAGUCUGGAUCACCUGGUUUGGAUGGCCCUACGGGGGAGAAGGGGGCGACAGGGUCCCCUGGCCCUAUCGGACUACCCGGCUCAAUGGUAUGUACAUCAGUCUAGAGACAGUGUGUCAAUGACAAACAUUUUCAACAUGUGGUUUGUGUUGUCUUAGGGUACAAAGGGUGACCCAG
Molecule: long non-coding RNA, 386 nt
Organism: Gouania willdenowi (blunt-snouted clingfish)
Lineage: Eukaryota; Metazoa; Chordata; Actinopteri; Blenniiformes; Gobiesocidae
Source: Ensembl